This 74-nucleotide transfer RNA is filed under the name Bos taurus (domestic cattle). It matches the Rfam family "tRNA". From Rfam's summary of the family: Transfer RNA (tRNA) molecules are approximately 80 nucleotides in length. Their secondary structure includes four short double-helical elements and three loops (D, anti-codon, and T loops). The record is from Rfam by way of RNAcentral. RNAcentral also lists the same sequence under 5 other names. Lineage: Eukaryota; Metazoa; Chordata; Mammalia; Artiodactyla; Bovidae.
UCCCUGGUGGUCCAGUGGCUAGGACUUCAUGCUUCCACUGCAGGGGGACACAGGUUCAAUCCCUGGUCAGGGAA